UGGGAGUUUUAAUCUCCCAGCCCGUUUGCCUGCUACUGUUUUUCAGAGAACUGCGAUAACUGCUUUAUUAUUUAAGGGUUGUUAGUUGCAACCCCUGCGAAGACAUAGGGCAGACCGUGCCUACACUGUGGGGAGCUCUGAAGGGCAUUUCCAAACUCAGGCAGGUUGUGCCCACAGGCUUGCCCGUGUCCUCAGAGCUCCCGAGACCCUGGUUAACAUCCGGUGUUGCUGUGGACAUAAACGUGGAGGGAGCAGUGGUGGGACGACGGCCAAGGGGGUGGUGUCUUCGAGGGGCUCAGCUGUUCACGUGGAGACUGACGCCGCCAGAGUGAAGAUGGAUCCAAAAUCACGCCCAGACUCCUUAGAACACGGCUGUCACGUGGCUCACACGCUCGGAAAUGACCAACUGAGGGACUGGGCUUCCUUAGGGAGCAUCUGCCCGUCUUUCUGGAUGGUGGCAGGGACACGGCUGUGUAGACACAUCUCCAGGAGGAC
Mustela erminea (ermine) is the source of this 495-nucleotide long non-coding RNA. RefSeq lists it as uncharacterized. The record is from RefSeq and is a predicted model, not a curated record. The transcript has 3 exons. NCBI's taxonomy places the organism in Eukaryota, Metazoa, Chordata, Mammalia, Carnivora, Mustelidae.